This 506-nucleotide unclassified non-coding RNA is filed under the name Bombus terrestris (buff-tailed bumblebee). Its description in RNAcentral is "misc RNA ENSBTSG00005028583.1". Lineage: Eukaryota; Metazoa; Arthropoda; Insecta; Hymenoptera; Apidae. The record is from RNAcentral.
AAAUACCCUAUAUAUAGAGUAUUUCGUAAGCUUUACGUCUAUUACUAAAAGAAAAUCGACACUUUUAAAUUCAUGCCCUGCAAUUAAACUAAAUCUUUACACAAAUUAUUGAAUAUUAAAAUAAAACCAUGCUCAAUUAUACAAUACAUGAAAACGUAAUUAAUAAUUUCAUUGAAUUUUCCGUUAGAUAUUGUUCGACAACUUAUGAAACAUCCUGCAUAUAAUAUAUUUAUAUACUAUGUACAAACGCAUUAUCGAAUUCAUUAUGGGUACUCUAUUGCUGCGAUCAACCUAUUAUGUUUGGUACAGAAAAGGAUCGCUGCGUUUUAAAUAAAAUCCGUCCAGUCUUGUUAAUGACGUAUACGUCGUCAUUAUUGUACAAAUUGAUGGAGCGUGAUAUGUAUAAGGGACAAGUUACAAUGUGUUUUCCAGGCAGACAUAAGGUAGACAUAGGUAGAUGCGAACAUAGACAUCGAAAGAGUAAACACAGGUUCAUUCAAAAAUAU